UUUGCUGUUCAGAAGUCCGUCUUUAAUUCAUCAUAAACUAAAGGAACACAGGUCAGAUUCGGACAACGACUUCAAAUUCGUUCGCAGAAUACGCUAAACAAUUGGACGACGGAUACACUGGAUGAUAAUGUAGAUGGUCCAGGAUUAUCUGGGAAGGAAACUACAGGUGUUGAACACAGAAAACCGUUUACAAGAAAACAACUGGAGUUUGUGAAAGCUGCAAGAAAUUAAUCUUGCCGGGUACGCAUUCACUUCACCUUGGGCGAGUGCAGCACAGUGGAUAAAUGUGUUGCUGAAGGAAAACACCAUUGCUAGGAUUCAAACCCACGACACUCUGUUGAAAGGUGAGAGUCAGAACCACUAGACCACGACGCACCCACAAUUAACAAGCUGAUGUCAUACCCCCACUUGUUCUUUUGUAUUUUAUAACAAGAAGUCAUGUUUAUUCACAUUUUGACCUCCAAGAACUAAAAAGUGGAGUGAAGAUUUAUUUAAUGUAAACACAUGCAUUGCUUGAUAUCAUUUUAUGCUACGUGGGACAUAUCAUACACACGUGUACGAAAAUAUGAAAUUAUUAUGAUUUCAUUUUAUAACAUAAGCCUAACACAUAUUCCUGACGAUCAUGUGCACAUUCCAGUAAUUUUUCCCAAAAUGUUGCUAAACCUUCAAAUCAAAGACUUUGUUAUCAGAUUUUAACGAAAUUGUCAACAUUAUGCUUUUCUGAUUAAUUCUCUUCCUACCUAAAUCUCCCCUUUUCUCAUGCUUUCUUUCUAUGGUCCCCUUCAUUAUCCUUAUAACUAUGUUAUAUGUAAAAUGUAACCGGUCGUCCAACCCAUUUGAUUGAAGGGCUAGGUACUCUAGACUGAAAGUUAUUUGAUUUAAAUUCAAAGAGUACAUCAGACAAAAAAAACACAGAAAAUUUCAUCAAAAUUGAAUGAGGAUUAACGAAAUUAUGACGAAUUAAAGUUGUUAUUUUUUGGUAAAACUGUUCUCUGCAAGUCCUCAUGAAUAUACAAGAUCCCAAUUUAUAUAUUUUUUUGUAUUAUAUGAAUUCAAAUUUUGUCCAAGCUAGGUUGUAAAAAAUUACGAUUGGCUACUGAUUUACUGUGUAAGACAAAAAUUAUAUUAUUUCUCACACAUAGUUGAGUUAUUCAUCUGAUUCAACACAACAAAAAUAGACAAAAAAGAAAUAAGUGGGAAUCUUGUAUAUUUGAACUAUGGGAAAUAGUUAAAAAAUAGAUGUGCUACUAAGAAUUAUUUUCUAUAUG
Long non-coding RNA from Lytechinus pictus (painted urchin), 1268 nucleotides. RefSeq lists it as uncharacterized. The record is from RefSeq and is a predicted model, not a curated record. The transcript is spliced from 3 exons. NCBI's taxonomy places the organism in Eukaryota, Metazoa, Echinodermata, Echinoidea, Temnopleuroida, Toxopneustidae.